Molecule: ribosomal RNA, 660 nt
Filed under: uncultured organism
Description: bacterial SSU rRNA
Rfam family: Bacterial small subunit ribosomal RNA
Source: RNAcentral
GGCUUAGAGUUUGAUCAUGGCUCAGGAUGAACGCUGGCGGCGUGCCUAACACAUGCAAGUCGAGCGAAGCGCUUAACUUAGAUUCUUCGGAUGAAGAGUUUUGUGACUGAGCGGCGGACGGGUGAGUAACACGCAGGUAACCUGCCUCACACAGGGGGAUAACAGUUAGAAAUGACUGCUAAUACCGCAUAAGCGCACAGGGCUGCAUGGUCCGGUGUGAAAAGCUCCGGCGGUGUGAGAUGGACCUGCGUCUGAUUAGCCAGUUGGCGGGGUAACGGCCCACCAAAGCGACGAUCAGUAGCCGGCCUGAGAGGGUGGACGGCCACAUUGGGACUGAGACACGGCCCAGACUCCUACGGGAGGCAGCAGUGGGGAAUAUUGCACAAUGGGGGAAACCCUGAUGCAGCGACGCCGCGUGAGCGAAGAAGUAUCUCGGUAUGUAAAGCUCUAUCAGCAGGGAAGAAGAUGACGGUACCUGACUAAGAAGCACCGGCUAAAUACGUGCCAGCAGCCGCGGUAAUACGUAUGGUGCAAGCGUUAUCCGGAUUUACUGGGUGUAAAGGGAGCGUAGACGGAGAAGCAAGUCUGGAGUGAAAGCCCGGGGCUCAACCCCGGGACCGCUUUGGAAACUGUUAUUCUUGAGUGCCGGAGAGGUAAGCG